ACGCUCGACACCUACCGGAGGCAGCAGUGGGGAAUAUUGCACAAUGGGGGAAACCCUGAUGCAGCGACGCCGCGUGGAGGAAGAAGGUCUUCGGAUUGUAAACUCCUGUUGUUGGGGAAAAAGAGGAUGGUACCCAACAAGGAAGUGACGGCUAACUACGUGCCCCGGNAGCCGCGGUAAUCUGAGCGGGCUGGCAAGGC
This 200-nucleotide ribosomal RNA is filed under the name uncultured bacterium. Its description in RNAcentral is "partial 16S ribosomal RNA". It matches the Rfam family "Bacterial small subunit ribosomal RNA", at positions 328 to 539 of the family's 1533-position model. The record is from RNAcentral.